UGUCAUCUCUCUCCUCCGCCAGCUCUCGCCCGCACCCGUUGCUCCAGAGCCGCUUCUCUGCUCGGACUCGAGUCCGAGUUUUGCUUCGCGCCGCGUCCGUCCUGGCCUCUGGCCCCACACACCAGGGCUCGUACAAAAGGCUGCCGCCGCUAUCUUCUUUUCUCCCCAACCGCAACCGCUUCCGCAUCUACAGCUCCGCGCCGUCGCAAGCUCGCACUUGCGCCACCGCUCGUGCGUCGUCGAUCUGUGCCGCCAUCGCUUCUCCGUGGCCAACAACGCCCCCCGAAGCUACGCACAAGGUCCUCAAGGCCGUCCGUGGAGUUUCGCGCUCGCCUGUGUGCAUCUUUUCCACUCGCCCGAGCUUACCGGGGCGCCGUCGCCGCCGUGCGAUCUACGCCGCCUCCGCCGCAGGUUUCCGCGCCGGUGGCACCCUUAUCGCGCCUGCAGUUUCCUCCUCUACCCCCUGGCCAAAUCCCUGGCCGAAUCUGCACCCGGAGGCUCGUUCCGAGCAAGUCCGUCGAACUGCCCUUUUCCGCCGCCGCUCGCCGUCGCUGACGUCAGCACUCCUUCUGCAAGCCGUCGGAUCGCCAUCCGACGGUCCGCAUCGAGUCAGCUGAGUCAACAGCCGCGCGCCGUGCCGUUGUUGCGUUUUAGCCCCUGCGGUUUUCCCUUUUUGCGCCCCAGCUUUCCGCAGUUCAAAACUAUUUAAAAAUUGGGUCCCUAGAAGUUUGGUUUCUCGCAGUGUUAUGUCCCUGCAUCUUGUUUUCAACGCAGUUUUUGCAUUAUAGGUCCGUUUUUGGCGUUCUUUAUGUCCGCGUGUUCGUUUUAAUGCGUAGAAUAAUUUUGUAAACUUAUUUUCUCUGUUUAUUAUGAUUGGUGUACUAUUUUCUUAUGUAUUGCAUUUGUUUGCUUGUAUGUCCUCGUGUGGUGUGUGUAGACGAUCAAUAGUUCGAGGGAUUUGAAGAUCAAGCUUUCGAGGAGUACGAACAGCAAGAGCAAGAUCAAGAAGGCAAGUUGUGUCCUUGAUCAUUUCUUUAAGUCCUAUUCAUCUUUACUUUCAUGUUCUAUACAACAUUGCCAUGCACAAUAUAGUUUAAAUUUGAUGGGUCCCAAUUAAGGAUGUCCUAGAUUUUAUUUACCUAUGCCUUGACCAACCGAGUUAAAUUUAUGUUGGGUUGCUUAUGCUUAGUGCUCAAAUAUGGUUAUGAUGGUUUAAUCUAAAUCAUUAUUAAUUUGGUAUUAUUUAUGUAUACCUUCCAUUAAUAUAAGACCAUUAUGUUUAAUCGGAACAUGGAGCGACCAUCAAGAAAAAUAGUGCUACCAGAAGACUAAAUGGCUCUGGUCUUGGCUGAAUAAUUAGAAACCUUAGUCUGAGGUAAUCUUACUCGUGAUGAGGCAAGAGGGGGGACUGAGUCAUUGCAUUAGCGGCCUGUGAUAGGUUGUGCACAUCAGACACCAAAACCUUAGCGGGGUACCACUGACUAAUGAAUUUUUGUAAAGGCUCGUAACGUCCCUAUGCAAUUACACCUCGGAAGUGUGGUAUGGUGCCUUGCAAACACCGCAUGGUUGGGUCCAAAGUUCUUUUGAACUUUUACGUGCCUUGGGGUAAAGAUGUGUAACCUCUGCAGAGUGUAAAAAUGAUCGAUCAACCGUGCUCACGGUUAAGAGCCGCCUGAACCCUCACAUGAUAAUACAAUCAAAAGAUGGGCUUAAAUUAUUGUUACUUUAUUCAUGGUUAUGUUAUCACUUUAUGUAUGUUCUUGUUUAAUUUUGGGUGGUAUAAACUUACAUCUAGUUAAUUGUUAAUAAAAUUUGACCAACUAAAUUAAAAGCUGAUGUUGUUUAAGCCUUAGCCAUACCUUGAUUUGCCUUACACUACACUGUUCCCCAUGACUUGUUAGUAUCAACCAUAAAUGUACUCACCUUUGCAAAACCGUUGUCUAGACCAAGCUAAUCUGGAGGAGUACUUGCACGACUUUGAGGAGUUCUAGGCGUACAGUUCUUCGGUCAGCUGCCUGUGGAGUUGUUGCUAUCUUUGGAGUUCUGCUGCGUAAUAAUUAGACUUUGUAGUUUAUUUGAGACUUUCGGUCAUGUAAUAAUAGUUAAUACUCCUUUUAUUUCGUUAUGGCAGUGUCUUUGAUAUCCACUUAUAUCGUGCAUGUGUAUAACUUGAUCCUGCCGCACAUGUAUUCAAUGCACUUGGUUUUAUCUUUAAAACCGGGUGUGACACGACGAUGAGUUAU
This 2243-nucleotide long non-coding RNA is filed under the name Setaria italica (foxtail millet). RNAcentral describes it as "long non-coding RNA (SITA_LNC000615)". The record is from RNAcentral. Lineage: Eukaryota; Viridiplantae; Streptophyta; Magnoliopsida; Poales; Poaceae.